GGCUCCAUAGCUCAGUUGGUUAGAGCGCCAGUCUAGUAAAUUGGAGGUCGAGUGUUCAAAUCUCUCUGGAGUCU
This 74-nucleotide transfer RNA is filed under the name Octopus vulgaris (common octopus). It matches the Rfam family "tRNA". Rfam says of the family: Transfer RNA (tRNA) molecules are approximately 80 nucleotides in length. Their secondary structure includes four short double-helical elements and three loops (D, anti-codon, and T loops). RNAcentral also lists the same sequence under 1 other name. The record is from Rfam by way of RNAcentral. Lineage: Eukaryota; Metazoa; Mollusca; Cephalopoda; Octopoda; Octopodidae.